CCCUUAGAUGUCCUGGGCUGCACGCGCGCUACAUUGGGUGCUGAAAUAUGAGAGUGUGAUGCCUGGUCCGAAAUGUUCUGGGUAACCACUAAAAAGCACCGCAUGUGAUUGGGAUUGUCUCUUGUAACUAAGAGACAUGAACGAGGAAUUCCUAGUAAUUUGAUGUCAACAACAUCAUGUGAUUACGUCCCUGCCCUUUGUACACACCGCCCGUCGCUACUACUGAUUGGAUGAUUAAGCGAGAACCGCUGAAGCUUGCUUUUGGGACUUCGGUCUCCGAUUGUGAGUGGACGCCCAUCGAGCUUAGUUGUCUAGAGGAAGUAAAAGUCGUAACA
RNAcentral lists this ribosomal RNA (335 nucleotides) under uncultured eukaryote. RNAcentral describes it as "partial 18S ribosomal RNA". It matches the Rfam family "Eukaryotic small subunit ribosomal RNA", at positions 1470 to 1796 of the family's 1831-position model. The record is from RNAcentral.